CCUACGGGAGGCAGCGGUGGGGAAUUUUGGACAAUGGGCGCAAGCCUGAUCCAGCAAUGCCGCGUGCAGGAUGAAGGCCUUCGGGUUGUAAACUGCUUUUGUACGGAACGAAAAAGUCUGCCCUAAUACGGUGGGCCCAUGACGGUACCGUAAGAAUAAGCACCGGCUAACUACGUGCCAGCAGCCGCGGUAAUACGUAGGGUGCGAGCGUUAAUCGGAAUUACUGGGCGUAAAGCGUGCGCAGGCGGUUAUAUAAGACAGAUGUGAAAUCCCCGGGCUCAACCCGGGACCUGCAUUUGUGACUGUAUAGCUAGAGUACGGUAGAGGGGGAUGGAAUUCCGCGUGUAGCAGUGAAAUGCGUAGAUAUGCGGAGGAACACCGAUGGCGAAGGCAAUCCCCUGGACCUGUACUGACGCUCAUGCACGAAAGCGUGGGGAGCAAACAGGAUUAGAUACCCUGGUAGUCCACGCCCUAAACGAUGUCAACUGGUUGUUGGGUCUUCACUGACUCAGUAACGAAGCUAACGCGUGAAGUUGACCGCCUGGGGAUACGGCCGCAAGGUUGAAACUCAAGGAAUUGACGGCUGNGAGNGCGAGAGACGACGAGGAG
Molecule: ribosomal RNA, 609 nt
Filed under: uncultured bacterium
Lineage: Bacteria
Description: bacterial SSU rRNA
Rfam family: Bacterial small subunit ribosomal RNA
Source: RNAcentral